GAAUCCGAGUGUUUAGUUUGGAUUAGUAGGUUAGGGUUCUUCAAUUGGAAACCCGGUUAAGUCACUCUCUCUUUCUCACUCGUAUUCUCCUGCGCGACACCAACAACUUGUCAUCUUCUCUAUAACAAUCAUUGUCUCUCACCUCCUCUCUCACCUUCUUCACCACUACAACUACCAUGGAGGAGAGAGAAAGCACGCAUAUGAUAAAGAAUUCGAGGAGAGAGAAAAUAGAUCUCGGAUUUCUUUCUCCUCCAUUGCUAACGAUGCUGGGUAUGGGUAGAGCUCUUGGUAGCGGAACCUCUUUUUUCGAUCACCAAGUUCUCUCUCGGCCUCAUUGGUAACCUCUCUUUUCGAUCUGUUCAUUUUCGAAUCUUCAAAUCUGUGGGUUAUUCUCUGGUUUAAAGAAGGUUAUUAGCGACAGUGGCAGUGGAAAAAUGCCACCGCCUGCGCCGUCGCCCGGUUCGCCACUGUCACUGUCAUCGAGGUUGUGUGCACCAGGUGUCAUUGAGUGAUUCAGGGUCUUCUUCAAGUGAAAGAGACUUUGCAGAAAGAUUUGUGGAGAGAACCAAAUAAGGGUGAACUAGCUGAGGCAACAAGUAUGAGUGUGGUUUAAGUGAAAAAAAACAUUUGGAGGUUGGUUGAGCUGCAAGAAACAAACUCAUCAAGCAUACAUUCCAUGACACUACCAAGCUUUACUCAUGUCUCACUUGGCCUUGAGUCAAUUCCUGAGCUGUAAUGGCGAAUGCGGGUUCUUCAUUGAUGGAAAUAGGAACCGCAACUGGUAAUUUUUUAUCUACUAAAUAGAAUGUUUAUAGUGCUAAUGUAAUGUCAGAAUCAGAGGCUGCACUUAUGUUUUUGGACAUGAUUGUGCUGGAACCUAAUUACUUGAGAGGUUGGAAUUUCCCCUGAGAGGUAUCAUGAAGUAAUGAGGGUCUCAAAACCUGUCCUCUCUCUUCAUUCAAGGCAUAAAUCACAUUAGGAAUUUAUAAAUGCUAUUACUGAUGUUGACAACCGGCAGAAGCCUGCUUUUCUCAGGCUUGCUAUUCAUGAUGUGGUUGCAAAUUACAAGGGCCAAGGAAGGAUUGUAGAAGAAGGAUUACAAGUUACAAGGGCCAGGAUAGCUAGCUAAGAUAUGCUAAAGAAUUUGCUAACCAUCAAUGAGGACUUCACAAGAGGCAUGUUUUGGAACAAUAUACGCAUCAACUUUUGAGUUCCUAAGUAGAUAGGGCUUGUACAGUAGAAUGAUUUUCUUGUUUUAAUACUGGCUUGGAUAAUUGGGAAAUGCUCCCCUUUAACAUUUGAGGUUUAUAGUA
Molecule: long non-coding RNA, 1313 nt
Organism: Rosa rugosa (rugosa rose)
Lineage: Eukaryota; Viridiplantae; Streptophyta; Magnoliopsida; Rosales; Rosaceae
Exons: 5
Source: RefSeq, a predicted model, not a curated record